GAGCCCGUAGCUCAGUCGGUAGAGCAUCUGCCUUUUAAGCAGAGGGUCGUGGGUUCGAGCCCCACCGGGCUCACCA
This 76-nucleotide transfer RNA is filed under the name Acidobacteriota bacterium. RNAcentral's name for it is "tRNA-Lys". It matches the Rfam family "tRNA". From Rfam's summary of the family: Transfer RNA (tRNA) molecules are approximately 80 nucleotides in length. Their secondary structure includes four short double-helical elements and three loops (D, anti-codon, and T loops). RNAcentral also lists the same sequence under 2 other names. Lineage: Bacteria; Pseudomonadati; Acidobacteriota. The record is from RNAcentral.